RNAcentral lists this ribosomal RNA (166 nucleotides) under Julbernardia brieyi. RNAcentral's name for it is "5.8S ribosomal RNA". It matches the Rfam family "5.8S ribosomal RNA". From Rfam's summary of the family: 5.8S ribosomal RNA (5.8S rRNA) is a component of the large subunit of the eukaryotic ribosome. The record is from RNAcentral. Lineage: Eukaryota; Viridiplantae; Streptophyta; Magnoliopsida; Fabales; Fabaceae.
AAUGACUCUCGACAACGGAUAUCUCAGCUCUCGCAUCGAUGAAGAACGUGGCAAAAUGUGAUACUUGGUGUGAAUUACAGAAUCUCGUGAACCAUCGAGUCUUUGAACACAUGUUGCACCUGAAGCCAUUAGGUCGAGGGCACGUCUGGAUGGGUGUCACGCAACG